RNAcentral lists this ribosomal RNA (523 nucleotides) under uncultured bacterium. Its description in RNAcentral is "partial 16S ribosomal RNA". It matches the Rfam family "Bacterial small subunit ribosomal RNA", at positions 355 to 891 of the family's 1533-position model. The record is from RNAcentral.
UGGGGAAUAUUGCACAAUGGGCGAAAGCCUGAUGCAGCAACGCCGCGUGAGUGAUGAAGGCCUUCGGGUUGUAAAGCUCUGUCUUUUGGGACGAUAAUGACGGUACCAAAGGAGGAAGCCACGGCUAACUACGUGCCAGCAGCCGCGGUAAUACGUAGGUGGCAAGCGUUGUCCGGAUUUACUGGGCGUAAAGGAUGCGUAGGCGGAUUUUUAAGUGAGAUGUGAAAUACCCGGGCUUAACUUGGGUGCUGCAUUUCAAAACUGGGAAUCUAGAGUGCGGGAGAGGAGAAAUGGAAUUCCUAGUGUAGCGGUGAAAUGCGUAGAGAUUAGGAAGAACACCAGUGGCGAAGGCGAUUCUCUGGACCGUAACUGACGCUGAGGCAUGAAAGCGUGGGUAGCAAACAGGAUUAGAUACCCUGGUAGUCCACGCCGUAAACGAUGAGUACUAGGUGUAGGAGGUAUCGACCCCUUCUGUGCCGCAGUUAACACAAUCAAGUACUCCGCCUGGGAAGUACGAUCGCAA